Molecule: microRNA, 19 nt
Filed under: Drosophila ananassae
Lineage: Eukaryota; Metazoa; Arthropoda; Insecta; Diptera; Drosophilidae
Also listed under: 3 other names
Description: miR-283-RA
Source: RNAcentral
UAAAUAUCAGCUGGUAAUU